AGCAGCCGCGGUAAUUCCAGCUCCAAUAGCGUAUAUUAAAGUUGCUGCAGUUAAAAGCUCGUAGUUGAAUUUCGGGAUCAAUAUGUUGGUCGUGCCUCGGUACGUACUAGCUUAUUGGUUUCUCCCUUCUGACGAACCAUGAUGUCAUUUAUUUGGUGUUAUGGGAAAUCAGGACUGUUACUUUGAAAAAUUAGAGUGUUUAAAGCAGGCUCACGCUUGAAUACAUUAGCAUGGAAUAAUGAAAUAGGACGUUUGAUUCUAUUUUGUUGGUUUCUAGGAUCGACGUAAUGAUUAAUAGGGAUAGUUGGGGGCAUUAGUAUUCAAUUGUCAGAGGUGAAAUUCUUGGAUUUAUUGAAGACUAACUACUGCGAAAGCAUUUGCCAAGGAUGUUUUCAUUAAUCAAGAACGAAAGUUAGGGAUCGAAGACGAUCAGAUACCGUCGUAGUCUUAACCAUAAACUAUGCCGACUAGGGAUCGGAUGAUGUUAAUUUUUUAAUGUACUCAUUCGGCG
This 511-nucleotide unclassified non-coding RNA is filed under the name uncultured Glomus. RNAcentral's name for it is "SSU rRNA". It matches the Rfam family "Eukaryotic small subunit ribosomal RNA", at positions 569 to 1085 of the family's 1831-position model. Lineage: Eukaryota; Fungi; Glomeromycota; Glomeromycetes; Glomerales; Glomeraceae. The record is from RNAcentral.